CAAGGCUGCUGUGUAGAUCUCUUUCUCUUCCCUAACCAGUGGAGAAUGACCAGGAACGGUUCCUGAGUGACCUGCGUCGUGAUGUCCAGAAGGUUGUUGGCUUUGAUGCUGUGAUGCGGGUCCGGACAAGCACUGGUAUCCGUGCUGUAGAUUUUUUUGGAGCUUUCUACAUGAGCAACACGACAGAUGUGGAGCUGGCUGGGCUAGAUGGGGACAAAACAGUGACUGUGGAGUUCAAGCAUGAUGAUCGGCUCAAUGAAGACAGCGGAGCCCUCCUACAGUGUGCCCUGCUUUACACCAGCUGUGCAGGGCAGCGUCGGCUCCGCAUCCAUAAUCUGGCCCUGAACUGCUGCACCCAGCUGGCUGAUCUGUAUCGAAACUGUGAGACUGACACGCUCAUCAACUACAUGGCCAAGUUUGGUGAGGGUAGAGGCAGGGCAGGGUGGGAUUGGGGCUGAGAGGUCCAGGAUGGUGAGUGGGUAGUUGUGAUGGUGGGAAUGCGCACAUGAUGGGCAGCUGACCAGUGACUAUCUUUGCUUUCCCAUCCAGCAUAUCGGGGAGUCCUGAAUAGCCCUGUGAAGGCUGUUCGUGACACUCUCGUCACCCAGUGUGCCCAGAUCCUGGCCUGUUACAGAAAGAACUGUGCUAGCCCCUCCUCUGCAGGACAGUUGAUCCUUCCUGAGUGCAUGAAGCUACUCCCAGUUUACCUGAACUGUGUGUUGAAGAGUGAUGUCCUGCAGCCUGGAGCUGAAGUCACUACUGAUGACCGUGCCUAUGUCCGACAGCUAGUUACCUCCAUGGAUGUGGCUGAGACCAAUGUCUUCUUCUACCCUCGGCUCUUACCUUUGACAAAGUCUCCCAUUGAGAGUACCACCGAACCACCAGCAGUUCGAGCCUCUGAAGAGCGUCUAAGCAAUGGGGAUAUAUAUUUACUGGAGAAUGGGCUCA
RNAcentral lists this small RNA (948 nucleotides) under Pongo abelii (Sumatran orangutan). Its description in RNAcentral is "processed transcript". Lineage: Eukaryota; Metazoa; Chordata; Mammalia; Primates; Hominidae. The record is from RNAcentral.